AGGCUCUACGUGAUUGAGGUAUAAUGUCUACCACCCAUUUCCAUGGGACUUGAAGAGGAAAUUCAGUUCAGUCAUAGAACAGUUUUGCACACUCAUCCCACAACAUCUGUAGCUCCAGCUGAGAUCUCUCUAUGAGUUCCAGACUUCUAUCCAGGUUACAUUAGAUUUUUCUGUUUCAAGUUGAGCUUGCUCCAAAUGAAACCCAUCUCCUCACAUCUUCUCACGCUCCUCACUCCUCAGCUAAAACCCAUUCUUCUUCUUCUCUUCCCUGUUUUACUAAAUAUUAUCAACAUUCGUUCAGUUGUCUAGGACAGAAACCAGGGUGUUGUGUUGGGGGGUGUAGUUCAGAAAAUGCUAAAAAUUAAAAGCCAACUAAGGCAUCUCUAUCCUACUAUCACUCAUCUAUACUGGGGCUUCACUGGCGAUUUAGUUUAAAAAUUAGGCAUGCUUUUUAAAUGGUUUGAAAAAUCACUGUAGAAGAGGAUGCAGUAAAUGGAGCAAAAGAGACUAGAAACCCUUCGUACAAGUCAAAGCCACUGAAAAGCCUGGGGGCUGGGGUAGGGAAUUGGAGAGGUGAGUGUGACAGAGGUGAGUGGCCAAAGGGAGGCAGGUUCAGGAAAAGACCUUCGUUGGCUGUUUUGGUCUUCAUCCCAGUGUGUGUUCUGGGGGGAUGGGGAAGGACGAAGCCUGAGCCCCAUCAAGAAGGGCCCAAGGGGACUUCCCUGGUGGCACAGUGGAUAAGAAUCCUCCUGCCAAUGCAGGGGACACGGGUUCGAGCCCUGGUCCAGGAAGAUCCCACAUGCCGCGGAGCAACUAAGCCCGUGCGCCACAACUACUGAGCCUGCGCUCUAGAGCCCACGAGCCACAACUACUGAGCCCACAUGCCACAACUACUAAAGCCCGCGUGCCUAGAGCCCGUGCUCCGCAACAAGAGAAGCCACCGCAAUGAGAAGCCCGCGCACUGCAACGAAAAGCAGCCCCUGCUCGCUGCAACUAGAGAAAGCCCGCGCGCAGCAACAAAGACCAAAUGCAGCCAUAAAUAAAUAAAUAAAUAAAUAAAUUUAUGGAAAGAAACAAAAAAAAGAAGGGCCCAGGGAAUCAGAUUUCCUGCUGCUCCUUCCUGGACAAAGCUUACUGCUCUCCAUGGCUCUUCAGGAAUCCAAGGAGCCUGAUGUCUAUCAGGAGAAUUUUGAACCCACGUCCUACCUGGACUACUUCAAGAUGAACCAGGAUCCCCUGGGUGAUGAAGUCCUCCAUUUCCUGCUAAAGCACUACAAUAUCACUUUUAAACCAGGUGGGCUGGAAGGAAAACUCCUGGUUGAUCUCAGCUCUGGGCCCACCAUCUACAAGCUCCUCUCUGCCUGUGAGUCUUUCAAAGAGAUCAUUGCCAUCAGCUACCCAGACAGAACUGCCAACAGCUGGAGAAGUGGCUAAAGAAGACGCCAGGGGCGUUUGACUGGUCUCGGUGGUGAACUAUGUGCGUGAGCUUGAGGGGAACAGGGGCACCAGGAUUUUCUCUGGCCCAAGGAAUGUGACUGCAUCUGUGCGUGGUACUACAAACCUCCUGUGCCAUUCUCUGAAGGCUCUCUCUUCCCUCCCCUGCUGGCUGCAUGCAGAGAAUCCAGCGGAGGACCCUGAGGCCCUAGGAAAUGACAGAGCUACACAGUAGAAGCCUGACCAUCUGGAGUAGUACUCUGCCCUUGACCCCCACUACACUGGACCGU
This is a long non-coding RNA of Globicephala melas (long-finned pilot whale), 1724 nucleotides long. RefSeq lists it as uncharacterized. The record is from RefSeq and is a predicted model, not a curated record. NCBI's taxonomy places the organism in Eukaryota, Metazoa, Chordata, Mammalia, Artiodactyla, Delphinidae.